RNAcentral lists this ribosomal RNA (446 nucleotides) under uncultured bacterium. RNAcentral describes it as "partial 16S ribosomal RNA". It matches the Rfam family "Bacterial small subunit ribosomal RNA", at positions 338 to 795 of the family's 1533-position model. The record is from RNAcentral.
CCUACGGGUGGCAGCAGUCGAGAAUCAUUCACAAUGGGGGAAACCCUGAUGGUGCGACGCCGCGUGGGGGAAUGAAGGUCUUCGGAUUGUAAACCCCUGUCAUGUGGGAGCAAAUUAAAAAGAUAGUACCACAUGAGGAAGAGACGGCUAACUCUGUGCCAGCAGCCGCGGUAAUACAGAGGUCUCAAGCGUUGUUCGGAAUCACUGGGCGUAAAGCGUGCGUAGGCUGUUUCGUAAGUCGUGUGUGAAAGGCGCGGGCUCAACCCGCGGACGGCACAUGAUACUGGGAGACUAGAGUAAUGGAGGGGGAACCGGAAUUCGCGGUGUAGCAGUGAAAUGCGUAGAUAUCGAGAGGAACACUCGGGGCGAAGGCGGGUUCCUGGACAUUAACUGACGCUGAGGCACGAAGGCCAGGGGAGCGAAAGGGAUUAGAUACCCGGGUAGUC